Molecule: long non-coding RNA, 264 nt
Filed under: Ictidomys tridecemlineatus (thirteen-lined ground squirrel)
Lineage: Eukaryota; Metazoa; Chordata; Mammalia; Rodentia; Sciuridae
Description: lncRNA (ENSSTOG00000031133.1)
Source: RNAcentral
CCCCCCAUCUUUAUUUAUGUAGUGUUGUUUAAUAAGGGACCCUAAACAGAGGAUAUCCAUUUCUGAGCUCCUGGCACAUCCAUAUGUUCAAAUUCAAACUCAACCAGGUAAUCAAAUGGCUAAAGGAGCCACUGAUGAAAUGAAAUAUGUUCUAGGCCAACUUGUUGGUCUGAAUUCUCCUAACUCCAUUUUGAAAGCUGCUAAAACUUUAUAUGAGCGCUAUAGUAGUGGAGAAAGUCAUGAUUUUUCAUCAUCCAAGACUUC